AACGCGCGACAGAAACGCGCAUAGAAACGCGCGUUUGAGAAACGCCUAGGUGUGAACCCAGCGUUAGGCUUUAUUAGCAUAGGAGACCCAUGUGCAUGGAGUCCUCACAGGUUUGUACUACGGAAGCUAUUGGUGUUCUUUGUGCCGCCACGUAGUGCUACUGUGCAGAACUGUAUUAUGGAAAUAUUCUUUGGUAGAAUUAUUUUUCUUGUUGUAAGACUAGAUGGCAGAGCAAUACUAUGCCUAUGCAUGAAGCUUCAGGCUAGUUUCACACUAGCGUUAAAGGGGUAUUGUCACCUUGCUAAUCAUAUUUAUAAAGUUAAAUAAUGGCAAUAAUUUUUUGGGGGUAAAAACAUUUAGGUUUAUAGUUUAGAAGUUACUGCUGUUUUAUUAUCCCACUGGAGUCAAUUUCCCAUAGUUAUGGCCACUGCAGCAGUUAUCUAGCAGUGGCCGAGCUUGCGCGGUUCUUCCUCUCUGCUCCCUGCCUUGCCACCUUCGUCAUUGUGCUAGACAGGAUGACCACAGAGCCCUCCCUGGCAAGUAAUACAACUCCAGCCUCUCCACCACAGACGUUUAGCCAGAAGUAACUCAACUGCACAAGAAAUACUGUCAGGUUAUCUUGCUGCAGAUGCUCAUCAAGCCUCUGCCCUGCUGUUAGGUUUGAAGAGAGAACUUCCCUCCUUCCGACUGUUUACACCUAACGGCAGGGCAGCUAAAGGAUGAAUGAGGGUCUGCACCAAGAAAACCUGACGGCAUUUCUUGUGCAGUUGACUUACUGCUAGCUAAACGUCUGUGAGAGUAUACUAAGGAACGUCCGCUUCACAUGAUAUGAGAGCGUGCGUCUGAGGGCAUGUCACGUGCUAUACUAAAGUCCCGCCCGUAGCCAGAGAGAUCUGAGGAGAAGGAGAUAGAUGUAGGGAGUAAACUCACUGAUGGAAAAACCCCUUUAAGACCUCUCCGGCUGGAGAUGUCUGGAUUUGGCAUGGCGAAAGUUACUGCAUCUCUGUCCGGCCUCAUUCACUUUAAUGGGGGCCGGUGGAAAUCUGGCUGCAACUCUGCAAACAUGCCGUGAAUCGACCAGACGAAAACUACUGCUCGCAGCGAAUUUUCAUCCGGCUGCAACCUGGUGAUCUCGGACGGUUCUCAUUAUAGUGAAUGGAGCCGGAUGGAGAUGCAGUAGUUUCUGGCAAUGCAGGGUAUACCCUGCCAGAUCGUAAAACAAACUUGAAAAACAAGCCUGUGAGUUGGAGGAACCACAACCACCAAAUAGUUAUUGUUUAGUCAUGAAUGUUAAUGAGGCGAUCAUGCCAAAAUAACUUAUCACCUAUCCACACAAUGGAGCAGUAGUGUGCAUUUUAGCUCACUGCUACAUUAAUUUGUGUGGGACUAUGAGUGCUGUCAGACCCCAUAAAAGUGAGUGGACCAAUGUGCACUGUUGCUCCAUCCAGAGAGGGGACACCAGGACCCCUGUGUUUUGGGAUCGCUGGGUGUUCCAGCGGUUGGACCCCUAGCAAUCGGACAUUUAUCUCCUAUACUGUAGAUGGGUAAUAAGUACUUUUUAUGGGAUAAGUUAAGAAAGCACUAAAUUUAAUAAUGAUGAAAUUGGUAUUUUCGUGGUCUCUAAGUCAGCAAUGUAGGGUUUGUUUGUAUUAAUUCAGAAUUGGGCCGAAUGCACACGGCCGUGUUUCAUGGCCGUGAGCGGUCCGUGGAACCACGGCCUGGAUUCCUGCUGAGAGCAGGAGCACACGGCGUCAUUGCAACCAAUGACGCCGUGCGCUUAGGGUGUGUUCAGAUGUAGGGUGAUGCGGCGUGGUUGGUGGCGGAUGGCUUUAACAUUCUCUUUGGAACGCUGAACGUUUUUCACUUUUUAUUCUUUUAAUUUUUUCAGAAAAUUUUUGCUUUUAAACAUAUAUUAUUAUUUUUUUUACUAUUGAAGCAUGUUGCUGAGCAAUGUUACAUUGGAUUCUUUUUGUAAAAAUAAGUAAAUCUGAUAAUGUUAUUAGACAUCACCCCUGUAAAGAAGAAAAGUCUAUAUCUAGUAAAACACCUCCUCACAGAAUCAGUUUACAUUUUUUUACAACAUUUUUUUUUCCCCACUAUUGGGAUCUAUACACAGUUUUUACAAAAUUACAGCAGAAAAUGGCAAUAUGACUAUAUGACUGCAUGUGUAAAUUAGCGGGCUUGUCUCAUGUGGACAUUUGUCAUAUCCCUAUGAUAUGCCAUAAGUGUCCAAUAGGUGUGGGUCCGGACUCUGGGACCCACUCUUAUUUCAAGAACAUGUCCCCAUUGCACGCCACAAAGAAUGUAGCACAUGUGGCCCUCUCUAUUCACUGCAAUGGGAUGUCUGAAAAUGGCUUCACAUACUGCAAUGGGAUGGCUUCAUACUAAUGAAUGGCGAAAGCUGCACAUGUGCGGCCACCUCUGGGACCCACACCUUAUGGCAUAUCUUGUGUCCAGGUGGGACAGCCCCUUUAAUUCAAAGCCACAUGCAGAAGUGGCAUUUCUCCCCUCUCCAUAAUGUGUUGAGCAGAGACUUUGCACUAAAUGUAACAAACGUUUGUGUGAUUCAAAAGUAAUGAAUUUUUACAUAGGAAUUAAGGAAUAAAAAUUUAUAUUGUGACAUAAUUCUGAAAUCGUGGAAGCCUGCAAAUGAUUAUUUUUUUCUUUGCUAUGAUACGUUUACUAUUAAGAGAAACACACUGUAGUAAAUCUUCACAUUUUCCCCUUUUAUUUAUUCCUUGUAAAAGUGUUACCACCUUCAGUCAACGCAUAUUACCUCAGUUUAUGCUUGAUGUUAAAACUUGAAUGGCUAUCCCCUCUCAGUGUCUACUGAGUUGGUGCAGUCACGCAGGCCAGUUUUCAUUAUACUUGCAUUUAGUUUUCUGCACUUUUUAUUUUCUUGCAUAUAAUUUUCUAUUGUGUGCCUUCUUAAAAUGUAGCAUAUUCUAUAGACUUCAUUUUGAGCAGAGUGAUAGGACCAGAGGUGUACAUGUCUGCAAGGGAAUUUCCCGUCAUUGGCUUUUGGCCUGAAAAAAAAAUUAAUAGGGAAGACAGUAUUUUCGGGCUGCCUGUAGCAAUAUCACGUGACAAAUACACAUUUCGGGCUUUCACCUCUGUCAAAACAUGUCGGGUCCAAAGAUAUUGAGUGAUGGUGUUAAGGGCUAAGGUGUGUGUAGAGUUUGUGUUUUCUCUUGCAUUGAUUCCUUCACCCCAGAUUUAGGCAUUAUUUUAUUGUAGGCUUGUUUGCGUUUUUGUGUUUUGGAGUAUUACUAUGUACUUCAGUGGUUUUGCACAAGAUGAUGGGAGAAUAAGUCAUUUAAUGUGUGGACUCUCGUCUCUUGCACUCUUAAUGCUGCCUUUUGUAGGAUCUCCUAUUCAUUUCAUGAGAGAAACACACAGUAGUAAUUGAUCAAUUACUUUGCAGUUUUCUUUGUUUGCAUUUUCCAUCUUUUGUCGCAGUGUGUAUGGUGAGAGCUGGUGUGUGUGUUGCUUUAUUUUUUUCCUCCAUUCUUGGGGCCCCUUUUUCCGCAUAAUAUGAAAUUUAGACAAUCAAGAGUUCUGUGAAAAGGGCUUUCGUUGAUUUUUAAUUUUAUUUAAAUUUUUUCUCCUUUUUGGCCUGACUGUUCUAACCUCCUUUCUGCCCCUUUUCUCACUAGUGGGGGCAUGUUGCAGCAGUUUGGCCUCCCUCCAUUCUUCCUUAAAACAUUUUAGCAGUUCUACCUGGUCUUGUUCUCCUUUAAUGAUGUUAUAAUGUGCAUUGGCAGCACAGCUUGACAAUUUUGAGUAAUAAUCUUGAGUGUUUAUUUUUUUUUGGGGGGGUGGGGGUGCCGGGCAUGGGAUAAGCAAAAGGAAGAUGCAUUAUUUUGCUAUCAAAGUUAUUGUGUCUGGUUACCUGAGUGCGUUGUUUACAGGGCUGUCCUGAAACUUCCAUUCCUCUUCCCUCAAUCCCACCCUACCUCCAGACUGUGCCGCCAUUUUCCUUGGGUACUUUUGUCGUGUGGGAAUGGUUACCAAAUUUCAUUAAACCCUUGGACUUUUUGCUUUUCACACAGCAAUGUAUUAUGCCAAAGUACCCUUUUUAUUUUUUUUUAUUUUUAUUUUUUUUAUUUUUUUGUCCCAGUGUAUUAUCACCCGAACUGAACACUGGUGACUGGUAAAAAUUUCUUCUAGACCUUGCAUUAGGUCCUCCCUUUUGUGCCACUCUGAUAAUGGAAGUUUCUUUCAGCUCCUAAUACAAAGCACUUGCUUCAUUAAUAAGCACUUUCUCAUGACUCUGUCACUGUUGCUGGUACCGAGAAGUCAUUGCUGCUGCAGUGGAACAAGGGUCAGUACCACAGUGCAGGGUUAAGGUGUAUAAGGGUUUGAUUUCCCUUAACACAAGUGAAGGAAGGGCAUGAAGGAGCUGAUCUGUCCUUCACUGCUGCGCUCACUCUCCAGUGGGAGAGACGAUACAUAUGGAGAUGUUGAUGUUUUGAAAGUGAAUGGGAAAGAAUUUUAAAAUAAAAAAGACAAAAAAAAAUUCUAAACAGCACAAAUGCAUUUCACAAACAGGUUUACUUGCACUGCCACUGUAUAAAAGAAGGAGCUACAUCCGUUUGGAUAGCUGUCGUGAGCCAUAUUGCUGAAUGUAUCCUCUGACGUAAUAUACCAAGAUAUUAAAAUGAAAUUGAAAUGCGAUUGCCACUUCAUGGGUUAAGUAAUGGCUGGUGGCCAUCGGUUUGAAUUAAGGCAUUCAUACCGGCAAGAAAAUUGACCUUUUUUUUUAUUUACCACUAACCGUUGCAUUUUUUUUUAAAUAUGCAGGCACAAUUGUAUGUUCCAAACUUUGGGUACAAAUAACAUAUGAAAUAUGGUUAAAUUCAGUGUUCUGCUUUUCUUGUCUUCUCUUCAGAGGCCUGUUAAGCUUUAUCAUGUACUGUACACCUCUUGAGAAGCCGAAAUGUCACGCUCAAUGUUUGAAGGCAGUGAGGCAACAUAUUGAUGCAAUAUGGAACAAAGUACAUUUCCCAAACUGGACCAAAGCAGGAAAACUACUACUAGAGUUUUCACAUGUGAAAUUCUGAAAAAUGUUAAUGUUUAAAUUUGGACAAGGUUCAGAAGCACAUCAAGUGUUGAAGCGGUUGUCAAUGUAUGUGGCGUGCAUUCAAAGUGGGCUACCAGAAAUGUUUGCAUGGUUGCUGAUAUUGGCCUACAAAGCCAUUCAUGUGACUUGUAGCCAAAUUUAUGGCAUAAAUCCAGUCUGUUCUAGCAAUAUUUUGUUUAUUUUUUUUUUUUUUUUUUACAUUCUAAGGUUUGCAUCUAAUUUAAUUGCAAUACAAUAUAUCCAUACAUCAUCGAAACGUGGCGAUAGUGUUAUCUUUGUUCACUUUUUUUUUUUUCUUUUUCCAACAAAUGUCAGCCUGUAAACCAAAAAUGCAAAGCCCAAAAUUGGACUGAUAGUCCCUAUGUUCAGUAUCCCAGUGCUGAGAGCUCAAUAAUAGCCAGCGUGGUGUGGGCUAAUCAUUUAGAUUAGUACCAUCAAAAUGGUGGGGUAUUAUAGCAGUAAAUAACGAGGCAACUACUAAGUAUGUAGAACAAAUCAACGGUUUAGAGCGUUAUUGUAUUCUCAGACUGAAAUUAAUUUCACCGUAAUUACUUAAAGCACAAACACCAACAUUUAAGUAUUGAGGGUCAAGACUGAUGACACUGCUGGUAUUAUGCACUGGUUUAGUUACGUUUAGCAGCCCAUUAGAACACAAGUUGUUUUUUAGUUUUUUUUUUUUUUGUUUUCUGAGAAAUGAAUUUGUCUCAAUUUUGAGGAAAGAGCUGGCACCCAGUUCCAUCUCUUUGCACGUACCAUUACAAUAUUUCACAACGCCUUGUGCAGUGAUGUGGCCGGCCCAUGAGAUAAACAGGGAUGCCUUUGCUUAAAAACCAAAGCAAAAACUCUUAGCUGUUCUAGAGGAUAGAAUGUCUAUUUAUCCUCCUUGCUUCUGGGGUGACCAGUCACCAGUUAGUGGGUUUUUCUUAUUUUUAUUUUUUUUGUUUUUUUUAACUUGACCUAAAAUUAGCCCCAGUUGCUCUUAGAUGUGGUGUUUCUAGCAGUAGGUAUAUGAAUGAAUUAGCAAAAUUAAAACUAAAAAGCCUCAACGAAUGGAUUCUUGGAAUUGGAAGCACAAAUAAGGUAAAUUGUGUGGAGUGUGUUUUCUGAAGUCACCUACCGUCUCCUUCAGUAAGAGGUUCUCUGCUCCUCACUACCUCCAUCCUUCCCCCAUUGCCACUUGUCUUAUGUUUGCACAUGCUCUCUGGUGACAUGUCCAGAGUUUUGGACUUACAUGUGGCAAUAAAGUCAUGAUGAAGCUGUGUUGCACUCAUGUAAUCCAUUUUGAUGGAGUUUUUUCCUAACGGAGCCCAGUUGGGGUGAUCCAACUUUUCAUUCUAUAUGUAAAUAUCUCAUUUCCCUGUCUGUAAAUGCUGCACCCUUCAUAGAAGUUGUAACUCAGCCUUGAGUACCCUUAGCCGGGGCUCGGGUUAAUGUAACGGACCUCGUUUUUGGACGUCGGGUGAAUAACACUGAACUCAUAAUACUGCUCUUGACAGUACUUUUCCCUUGACACCUGGCAGCAAAUGUGCACAAACACUAACUGGAGUCAAGUGCUUCCAACCCCUUCCAUAGUGUUUAUAUUGAUAGUGCCAUUUUUCACCAGUUUAGCCUAGUGACUUUUUUUUUUUUUUUUUUUCCUUUGCAAAUGGCGCUUUAGCAUUUCCGAACUUGCUGCUCGUCUGUUGUAAAAAUUUGUUUGCUUGCUGUUUCUCCGUAACCUUCUUCCAAUACGCAAGGAACUAAAGCCUUAUUUAUACCAGUACUACUUCAGCUGCUUUGAGUGAACCAGUGUUAGGCAGAAAAAUAGAGGGCCACUUAAUGUUAAAUUGUUGCUUUUGGCAUUUUGUUUAUUUCCGCGCACUUUUGCUUUAGCCAAACUAUGUCCAUGUGAGCGUGUAUCCCACUUCAAUUGAGGAUGUUAAAGAACAAGCCCAUACAGAAAUAUUAAGAAAUUAAGAUGCUACAUGCUUGAGUGCUUCCACUUGGAUAGGUCUUACAGUUCCUGUGGGGAACAGCUUAUACUCUAAUACAUUUCUGCUGUCGAGUAAGCAUGUGCUUUGGCUCAUCUUCUGUUUACCCGCCACUAUGAAUUGUGCCAUAGAAGAACAACUCAGGGAUGUCUAAUGGCAAAGGAUCUUUAUCGAAUCCUAUGUGGCUUAACCUUUGGGGAAUCAGCUAUAGCAAGAAUGGAAACUCUUCAUUGUGCUGCCCACUAGUCAAGUCAUUUUAUUUUUAUUAACCUGCUUUUAUUGAACUCUGAUAUAAAUUAAGUUUUAUUUAGCUAAUCUAGUCAGAAAAUGAUUUUCCCUGAAGCAUUCUGAUUCCAAUAUAAUUUUGUAACUGAUAGGUUAUAAAGAUUAGGUUUAUUUUUAGUUUCUGCUAGAAAUCCAAGAAUCGCAAUCCUAAAUUUCUUAUCAUAAUUUGGUAAGUGAAGCAUUUUUGAUCUGAGAUCUUUGUAAUACACAGAUAUAUCGAUCUCUGCUCAUAAACCUUUCAAUUCCAGGUUGAACCUUCGCUGUUGGAUCACGUGGGCAUUCAGUUUAAAAAGAUUUUGCAGAUAUAUAUAUAUAAACCAAAACCGAUCCGUCCUCCAUUGACUUUCAAUGGUGUUCAAGACGAAUCAGUCUUGGCUAUGUUAAAGAUAAUACAAAUGCAUUUGUUCUGAACGGAUGCAGACUGUUGCAUUUUGUGCAGAUCCGUUCAGAUAAUACAUGUGUGAAAGUAGCCUUAGUGAUCCUCCAGGCAAAAGCGCAAAAUUCUGCUUUUGUCAUGAGUGGAAGUGUCCAUCCAGCAGUUGUAUCAACCUUGCUAAUCCAGAGAUUCAUGGCGGUCUUUUUGCUUUCGUACUCUGGUUCUGGGCAGCAGUUGCCAUGAACCUGUAUAGGAAAUGGUCCUAUGGCAAAAUGUGUGUAAAUGAGCAUAAACUAAUGCUGGGAUCGUUUUUGUUUUUCCUCUGGACGAUCAUAAGACCAGAGAACGGUGAUGUGAACUUAGUCUAUGUUUAACAUCAGGGGGUUCUCCACUUUGACUUUUGCCCACCUGGUCACUUUAAAAAGCAUAUCAGUUGUUCGAUAAGUGUAGAACUGUUUUUAUCCUUGUGUGAACAUUUGAUGACAGAUUUACUUUUUUUUUCCUUUCUUCUGUUUGAGUUUUCAUUAAUAUUAAUGUAGCUGAAACUUGAAUAUUCCCCCCCCCCCCCCCCCUUCCAGUCUGUGGACAUAUUUUAAGACUAGAAUUCUAGUUGUAUAAUGUAUUAACACUAUAUGGUCAAAGUAUAAUUUCUUUGUAAAGUUGACAGUAUAUCUUGUCUAAAAUUUAGUUUUGCCAGCUGCUAAGAGGAGCACCAAACAGAUGAUAUGCAUGCUAAGGCCAACCAGCAUUUAUUUAGUGUAUUUUUGUGACCCUACCCUGAUCUUACUCCUAUAAGGCUAGCUCGAUGAAGAGAUUUUCUCAAUAUGUACAAUUGACGGCUUACAGCAGUUCUGCAUCUGACACAUACAAGUGCAGUUUAUUGUAAAGCAAAGAUUUAUUACCUUUGUAUUGCAGCAAGACUAGGGGGUUACUGGCUCUCCUGAAAGGGGUUGUCUCACUUUAGCAAAUGGCAUUUAUGAUAUAGAUAUAAGACGUUAAUGUAUUGUGAUGAUCCAUAUUGCUUCCUUUGCUGCUCCUUUCCAGGGGUUGCAGCAGUGGCCAUGCUUGCACGCUAUAGGAAAAGAUGCCGGCUUCUCUGGUGACUGGGACUGCGCUUUUCCCUGUAGUGUGAAAGCAUGGCCACCGCUGCUGGAUUGUGGGGAGGUUGUAACCAUUGGGUUCGACCAGUGUAUAAUGCAAUGAAAAAAUGAAUCAAGCCAGCAAAGGAGGCAAUGUGGAUAAUCCGUACAUUAGUGUAUGGUAUUAAAGAGAUUUUUCCAUCACAGACAAUGGGGACAUAGUUAGGCUAUGUCCCCCAUUAUUCUGAUAGGUGCAGGUCCCAUCUCUGGGAACCUCACUUACAUAUAGAACGGAGCAGGGAAAGGGCACAUGCGCAGCCGACUUCCAGUCAUUUUUGUGGGGCCCCUAAAAAUAGCCGAACACUGGCUUGGCUAUUUCUACCGCCCCCAUAGAAAUGAAAGGGAGCUGUGGCCGCGCAAGCGCGUUACACUCCCAUUCACUUGUAUGGGGAGAAUGCUUGGCAGUGGCCAGACCCCAGGAAACCCAGGGUCCUCCAGCCACCACUCUCCCUGCUCCUUUCUCGGUGUAGGUGAGCGUCCCAGACGUGGGACCUGCACCUAUCGAUAUGCCCCCAUUGUCUGUGAUGGGAAUAACCCUUUAACUUUGUCUAAAUUAUAAAUUCCAUUAGCUGAAGUGAGACAACCCCUUUAAGGAGACCAGCUGUGUAUUGAGACUUGGUGGCAAUGCUCCAUGGGAAAAUAAUGUGCAAAGUUCUACUUCUUUCCCUGCGAGAUACCUCUUUGCAUACUACCACAGCAAGCAAAUAAUUAAGCAUUAACACUGAUCUCAAGGGACCGUCUGAUUAUCCAGGAUGCUGGAUAAUUGUUUGGACUGACAUUUGCAGGCCAUUGUUUACACCGCUCAAUCGGUACACUUUUGUCAUGGGUAUUCAUCAAGUAUUUUAUUAAGCCUUGCAAAAAAUAAAAGGGAGGCAGUUUGUAGGGUCAGCCUUACCCUGGGCUUUGUGGCAGUGCUGCUUUUCAGUAGAGCCAUGCCACUCUCUAUUCUUCAUGUCUUGGUAAUGUCCUAAUUGGCUGCUUUGAACUUUUCAGUAACCAUGUGAUAACCUAACCGGUAUGGCCUGGGCCUUCUAUGAUUUACAGGUGUGUGUGUGUGUGUGUGUGUGUUCUUGAGCCUUUCAUGGAGAUUGAAUUAAUGGUACAAUAAUUUGGCUUCAUUUAUAUGACUUUGAGAAACAGGCAGCUAUUAAACUGUUCUUAACACCAAAUACAACGCAGCUUGGUGUACAUGAGCUUAUCGAAAGAGGGAACCAUAGUCGCUUAGACACAUUCUUGAAACUGGUGGUCAUUUCAGUUUUCUAUGUUUUGGGUUAGAAAAACAGAUUGUACUGGACCAUGUAGAUAUAGCAGGCUGAUUCCUUUGCACAACUCGUAGACCUCUUGAGACCCUUAGAUUUAUGUGCGCGCGUGUGAAAGUUUUAGGGGCAUUAAUGGCUGUAAGUACUCGAUAUGUCCAUGUUGUCUGAGUGGUGAUGACUAGGAGUGUAGUUCUCACUGAAGUUGCAGGUUGAAUUUUUAUUGCACUUUUAUGGCAGAAACUCAGAUUCUGCUGGAUGUUUAAGCUUUUUUUAUUUUGAUGUCUUUCUGUUAACAGAAGUCCAGUUAGGUCGGUAAGAUUCUGUUCUACUUGUGAGAGUGAUCGUGUUGUAGACUUUUGCUGUACUGCUUGGCAUCUUCUAGUAGUCUGGCAAUUCCAUCCAGCUUGCAUGAGUCAAGAUAUCGUGAGUACUCUUCUCCGUUAUCUGGAAAGGCAUAUUUCAGUUGUGUUGAAUCACUGUUCUCUGUAACAGAAUGUCGUGUAAGUGCCUAGGAGAGGAGUCUGUCCUGCAGCUGUCGCAAAUCAAUUGAGCCAGGUUUUAGCUAGACAGUAACGCAACCUAAAAUGCUAACUACCGUGUGAUUUCCAGGUGAAUCUCAAAAUGGGUUCUGACAUGUUCUCUGUCUGUAGGGAACUGUUUUCAGGAAUACAUUUUGUUCCCUUCUCAAGCAAUUUAAAUGCCUAUUCCUUAAGAUUUUGUCGUCUCUUUUCCGGAGACCAUAAAAUUUUAGAUUCAGAAUGCACUAGUUUUUGAAGUGAAUUUUGAAUUUCGCUUCAUUAGUCAAUCAAAGCAAUUUGUAAAUAUUCAUUGGAAGAAAAUCUAUUUUGGCGUUGAGGUAAACAAAAAAUGAACAGACCUCUAACCUCUUUCCUUUUCUAGAUGUUGGCUUGAUCCAUCCAUCAGUGUCUUACUUUGGGAUUAUAGUUGGGGUGACGUGAUCCCACGUGAGGCUGUUGGUGGUAACAUCUAGGUGUACCUACAUGUAUGCAUAGAUUCCAUUUUCGGGCUUAGAGAAUGAAAAUCUAUUUUGCCUCAAGCAGAACAUUUUAAUGUUGUCUUUUUGUCUUAGUUAUCUUGUACAGUAUUAGUAGUAGUGAACGUAGUAUUGAAGCCUUUUCUGACUUCAGAAUAACCAACCCCAAAACUCGCAUCACAAGAUAUUGCCAGACACCUUUUUGCCUUGACUCCUACAAACAGGUUAAACCUGGACAUGGGGAAGCUAAAUCUACUUCUUUGUUUUCCUUCUGUUUUCUGAGGUGUUUCUUCGAAGAUGUACCUCUGUAUUACCUGUAAACCCCCCUUAUUUCCUGAUUAAAACAAUUUCAUUUGUGAGUGGGGGAUUUUGUAAACCUUAUUUUAACGUUUCUUGCAUCCCGUAUAUAUGGCAUAUGGUUAGAUUCUUCUGUACUUGUGUUUGUCACUUGUGUUUUUGUUACAGCUGGGUAAUAUUGCUGUGAUGGCUGCUCACUGCCUCAUAGUUAGGGUAUGUCAUAGUGAUGCAACUACUGAGUGCUGGUGUGGCCUCCCUUGCUGUGGCUGUGCCUUUCUACCCCCACUUGCAAAUGUUCAGUCUUCUAACAAUAUUACUCUUAAUGUUUGUUAGGGAAAGGGUGGGUGGGACAAGGGAGAAUGUGUGUGCAAAAUACAUUAUUUUUUGUCAUCCUAACUUGUGGGAGUUAUAAAUUGGGGAUAGCUAAACAUAGUGCAUUCAAAAACUUGAUCUCUUUUUCUAUAAAGUUCCCUGCAACCAAGUCCUGCUGCUCAUAUUGUGGCUUUGAAUCAAUUCUGUUUAUUAAAGAGCUUUAGCUUCUAA
Molecule: long non-coding RNA, 11946 nt
Organism: Bufo gargarizans (Asiatic toad)
Lineage: Eukaryota; Metazoa; Chordata; Amphibia; Anura; Bufonidae
Exons: 2
Source: RefSeq, a predicted model, not a curated record